Molecule: small nuclear RNA, 334 nt
Filed under: Nannospalax galili (Upper Galilee mountains blind mole rat)
Lineage: Eukaryota; Metazoa; Chordata; Mammalia; Rodentia; Spalacidae
Description: 7SK RNA (ENSNGAG00000004765.1)
Rfam family: 7SK RNA
About the family: 7SK was discovered as an abundant small nuclear RNA in the mid-70s but a possible function has only recently been suggested. Two independent studies have found that 7SK RNA binds the CDK9/cyclin T complex (known as elongation factor P-TEFb). P-TEFb activates transcription by phosphorylating the C-terminal domain of RNA polymerase II.
Source: Rfam by way of RNAcentral
AGAUGUGAGGGCAUUCUGGCUGUGACAUCUGUCACCCCACUGAUCACCAGGGUUGAUUCAGCUGACCAGGCUGGCUAGGCCGGUGUCCGCUUCCUCCCUCAAUGCUCCACAUGUGUCCCUCUCAAAGCUGCGAGCUAAGCUGAAGAGAACAACCUUCCCCAAUAGAGGAGGACUAGCCUUAGGUCAAGGGUAUAUGAGUAGCUUUGCUCCCCUGCUAGAACCUCCAAACAAGCUCUCAAAAGCAUUCCCAGAUUCACUUGAUCUUUUGAAAAGUCCAUUUUGCUGUACUCAGUUUAACAAAGCGAAACAGUACUCUGCAAAAGAAAACAAAGUU